CUGGUCUCUCUUUGAUGUGAUUGGGAUGGAAAACCAAAUUACUUGCAAUGAAGCACAAAUGCUGCCAAAACUGAAGGUAAUUGGAAAGCUUAUUGAAGAGAUCUGCUGCUCCCCUUCAUCACUCAGACUUGAGCCAAUGAAGCUCAAACCAAAUAAGGGUAUCCCAAGGAAAAAAAGACAACUAAAGGAGCACCUGGACAAAAUAUACUUCUGGAAUGAGCAUCAUUGUUCCAGAACCCCCCUGUAUGGUAGAGACCUGUUGGAAACUUGCUUUUGGAUCAGUGAAAGAAAUAUCUGCCAGCAUUGUUCUGCCAGGAUUAACAAGUGGUGCUGGGCUGGGUUUCCAAAUUGCCUUCCAUAUUCCAGCACUUCAGAGGCUCUAAGGAUCCAUUGCAGGAACUCAUUCUGACACUGAAACAGCAACAGAUUGCCCUGAAGGAUGUUGUUACCAGAGACCCUGUGUGUGUUCCCAGCUGUAGCUGUUGCUCCUCCAUGUUUGUAUGGAGCAAAUCCUUACAGAUGGACCCCUGGAAUGAAACUCUUGCAGUUCAGUCUCAAGGAGCAGAGAUGGUGCAGGGUGAUUCAGGUAUCAAACACCCACCACUGCUUACACCUGUGUCUAACCAGUCUGUAAUUGUGAGUGUGACCUGCAGAACCCCCAGGUUCUCAUUCAUAACUAGCAAGCUGGGAGCUCUGGCUGUCCUGCUUUGGAAGCUGAAAGCAGAAGGGGGAGCAGGUGCUGAUUCUGACACAGAGGACUGCAAUGCUCAGCAUCCUGGAGCUUUUUCUGAACUUCCAUUUCCUCACGUGAGUGAGAGUGGUGCUCACAGCUGGCUUUAUCUGGAAUUAAUAAAAAACUUCAACCAAGACAAGUGAUCUUCUGUGCUAUCCCACACUCCUUCCACAGGUGUCAGUCACACAGAUGUGAUUGCUCUUCUAUGACACUGAUUCAGAUCUGCUGAUGGACACGAAGACUGAGGGAUGCUGUGACAAAACUGCAAGAGGAAGAGACACCCACACAUACAGGCUUGUAAGUGGUAAUUCUAUUGAAGAAAGGCUGUUGAAAAAGAGCAUUAAACAUAUGAUUCAAGAAUUGGCUGCUUGGGGGGAUUGUUCAACCGACUUUUUAUCUCAGGUACUGUAACAUUAGGAAUGUGAGCAGUUAUUUAAUGAUACAUUAAAAAUUAGCAUUUUACUAGAUCUGAGAAUUUUGAAAAAGUAGUGGUUUAUUUAUUUCUAGGCUUGUUUGGGAACCAGGGAUAUGUGUUCACAGUUAAAUUCAGAAGCAAUCCUGAACUGUCAGCCUAUAUGGAAAAUCAGUAGGCAACAAUAUCUAGUAAUAAAGAUUUGCUUGUUCCAAUGAUAACGUUAUCCUUUUAUUGACCUUGUUUAAAUCAAUCAAAAGCAACAUCUGCAGCAAAAAGUGUCAAACACAUCUGUGAUCUGACUUUUCUGAACUUGAUUUUAGGAUGACUAAAUAGUUUUUGAUAUCAUGCCUUAUCUUACUGAGUACUUAAAAACAUAUUUCCAUAAAGUUCUUUGCUGUGAAUAUGGAAAAGAAUCUAGAACAUUUAUGAAAGAGAGACUGUCUGAGCUAAGAAAUUACUUAGAUUGGAGAUGUAUGACUCAGAAAACACCAUGGUUCCUACACCUGGCUGGCUUGGUGGGCCAGGUAUGGGGAUUUCCCUUGUUUUAUGUAAACCUUUACCAACAUUUGGUGUUUACUUUCCACAGUAAUCGAGUGGCUUCUGUAAAGCCUUGUUUUCAAUCCAUUUACAUCAGACAGUUCUGUGCAAAUUUAAAUACUGAAACACUCAAACUACUCAGAGGUAAUUUGAGCCUGUUCAUAGAUCUGUUCUGAAACAUUUAGUGUUCUCCUGAGGGUUGUAAUUUGCAGUGAACUAAAUUGUAUUAUGUUGUAAAACUGUUUCAGACUCCUGUGCUUUGCCAGACUAUUUGCAUUUUUUUCUUAAAGGUCUAGGCUCAUGUCAGGGGUGUGGUCAACUCUUGUAACCAUGUUAAUCACUCUCCAAAGCAAUGGUAAAAUCUUUACAAUAAAACCAUUGCAGGUCCAGAGGGAAAAGUGAGUUUACCUUGAAACUUGCUUUGAAUUGUGAAGACUUGGGGGCUUCUGGGGUCUUUUUUGUGUUUGUUUUUUUUUUUCCCCUUUCAAUUCUUCAUUGCUGUUAGAGUACUACAUGAGUGUUUAUUAAUCAGAAACAUAACUAGAUUUUAGAAUUUUGAAUAGCUUGGUAUACAAGCAAACAUUAGUCAAUACCUUCUCCUAACAGUAUGACUAAUAUAGGUUGUACUUACUACAUUUCCAUACACUUAGGAAUAUGAAUUUCCCAAUGUUAUGACAAUAUGACCUUGGAUGUAUAAUUUUUCACUACCAGUAUAAUAAAAGUAAGGGAGGGGAGCUGUUUAUUUAACUUUUAAGUGAUAGGAUAUGAAUUGUCUUCAGUCAAGACUAUUGACAACUAUGAAUUUUGAGACAGGGCACUUUUGAUUAUGUAUUUUUGGUACCUAAGCCUUCACUUUGUAUUUAUCCCAGAAUGUAGGUGGUUAUCCUCUUUGAGUUAGACAAGCCUGUGCUGAAGUCCAGAAUUCUGUGUAUUCAAAUCUAUACAAAUCACUUUGAACUGAUGCCAAUGACUACUAGAAAAGGAAGUUCCUCAUAUAGAUUUCUGCAAGUUUACUUCUACUGUCAGUAAUUUUUUUCAGAUUUAACAGUAAAUCACUGCUGGCCUGAUUGGUGAUUUUGGCUUCUCUUAAGCAUGAAUGUAUUUCUCGGGGACCUUUUUCUUAUCGAAGGGUGUAUGACGACCUUUAGCCUUAAGGUAAAGUAGUAUUUACUGUCCAAGAAUCAAAUUUGUGCUCGGGCUGAUAGAAAGAAAAGCCUGAAGUGCUUCGAUGUACCAGAAGUAGUUCCUCCUGUCCCGCUGGAAGCUCCUGAGCAUCAGUGUGUGCCCGCUGUCUCCUGUGCUGUGACCCGCUCCGUGCUGAGCCUCCCUGCAGACACCGACACACAGGGAUGGGGUCCCCUCUCAGCCGCCUCUUCUCGAGGCUGAACAGCGCCGCUCCCGCAGCCUUCCAACCCCUUCAUCACCUUUGUUUCCCUCGCUGGCCCCGCUCCAGGCUCUCCCAGUCUCUGCUGCCCUGAGGAGUACAAGCCCUGCCAGCUGCAAGUGUGGAUUUUCACACCGUCUCUUAAGAGAAGCGACAGCCCUUCUCCCUGCGCGGACAGAACCCACCCUUUGCUCUGUCCUUACCCUCCCCUUCCUCCGCUACAAUAAAUGCAAUUUUUCUGUCCUGUC
Catharus ustulatus (Swainson's thrush) is the source of this 3317-nucleotide long non-coding RNA. RefSeq lists it as uncharacterized. Lineage: Eukaryota; Metazoa; Chordata; Aves; Passeriformes; Turdidae. The transcript has 5 exons. The record is from RefSeq and is a predicted model, not a curated record.